GAAGAGGUGGCCGAGUGGUCCAAGGCGCCGCAUCCUUAAAUAUUCUGUUUGAUUCCUCUUGGAUUCAAAAACUGCGGUCUGUUCCAAGAACAGUCGUGGGUUCAAAUCCCUCCCUCUUCU
Non-coding RNA from Linnemannia elongata, 120 nucleotides. The record is from the annotation of a GenBank genome assembly. Lineage: Eukaryota; Fungi; Mortierellomycota; Mortierellomycetes; Mortierellales; Mortierellaceae.